This is a long non-coding RNA of Oreochromis aureus, 1522 nucleotides long. RefSeq lists it as uncharacterized. The record is from RefSeq and is a predicted model, not a curated record. Lineage: Eukaryota; Metazoa; Chordata; Actinopteri; Cichliformes; Cichlidae. The transcript is spliced from 4 exons.
UUUGGCUCACGGACCAGACGACUUCCACUGGAGUUAACAGGUAACCAAUUCUGCUCAAUUUAUACAGACUUUACUUCUGAUUCAUCAACAUUUUCUCAAAAACAAUUACACGCGUUUGAGCAUGAUCAAAAUCCGAGGCACGGGAGCGGACAGAUCCAACCGAACGAGUUUAAAGCCAAAGUCUACGUAAGGGUCAGUGACCCUGAACGAAUGGACAGAGAUGUGAUCCAGACAGAAUAUGGAGGAAAAAGGGGACAUAUGAGAAAGGAAACUGCAGGACAGAACCAAGACACAAGGAGAGAUGACAUAUUUUGGCUGGCCUAGUAAGGCCUCGGGAUCCCCUUUAAGACUUGGAUCACAGAGAGACGAGUCCAGGUGUCUCUGCUUAAACUGUGACUUGAAUACAGGACGGAAGGGGUCACUCCAACAGGAAAAGAAAAAGAAGACUGUUGGUGCAGAGCUGCUGCUCCAUUGUGUCCAAAAGAUGCCAAUUGAAGUGUUUUGAGCAACUGAUCUAGAGGCCUUCUGCUCUCAACGUCUCGUAAGCUUAGAGGAGACUCGGGACAUGAUGAACACAUCUCUCAUCUGCAAUAAGAAUAUCGGAAGAUCCUAAAACCUGAAACUUGACUGUUUCUGGUGCCACCCAAACAAGACACAGGCUGGAUGAAACAAAUCACCUGGACCAAUCUAUCAGCUGAUUGUUCACAGGUAAUGCAGAUAUUUGGGAUCGUUAAUGAUGAGUGCAGAAACGCCCAAAUGCUUAUGGCAACUUGGCAUCAACAUUAUCGUCUUUCAAAGCACCUCGAGUACAAUCAAUCUCCUCUGAUCUCAGAAGUUAAGUAGGGUCGGGUCUGGUUAGUACUCGGAUGGGCCGCCCGGAAAUACCAACUGGUGUAAGCUUCAGAGGUGGCUGUGGCUCAGGAGGUAGAGCAGAUCGUCUAACUAAUGGGACUGUUGGUGGUUCAAUCCUGGCUGCUCCAGUCUCCAUGCCAAAGUAUCUUCGGGCAAGAUACUGAACCCCAAGUUGCUUCCGAUGCUUCCAUUGCUUCCAUUGCGAGUGUGAAUGUUCGAUAGAAAGCUCUUAGGCAUAGAGAGAACGGGUGUGUAUGAAAGGGUUAAUGAGGCUUGUAGUAUAAAGCACUUUGGGUGUUCAAGCAGAGUAGAAAAACACUAUGUAAGAACCAGUCCAUUUACCAUACAUUAUGCUGGGCUAUAAGAUGAAUGUCUGUUUCUUUAUGUCAGUUACUUCCUUGUAUUUUAAAAUAUCAAUAUGAACAAAACUUAAGAAACACUCACACCACACUUUAAUAGAAGUUAUUGAGCAGCGACUCAAACUAACAAGAUGGCAGUCCAGGUGUGGGGAAAGCUAAUAAUGACUGUCUGAUUGAACAAACAAAAGCACUCCUGCAUUUAGCAUUAGCCCAGAAUAAAUUUAAAUUAAAAACUUCAAUUUCUCCUUUUUGGAUUGAAUUUUUGACAUCAUGCACAAAGGAAAUGUAAUUUUUUAUUAAAGAUGAUGAAG